GAUGAACGCUAGCUACAGGCUUAACACAUGCAAGUCGAGGGGUAACGAGAGGAAAGCUUGCUUUCCUUGUCGACGACCGGCGCACGGGUGAGUAACGCGUAUCCAACCUGCCCCCAACUAGGGAAUAACCUUGCGAAAGUAAGACUAAUACCCUAUAAUUUCCUCAGAUGACAUCUGACGAGGAAUAAAGAUUUAUCGGUUGUGGAUGGGGAUGCGUCUGAUUAGCUUGUUGGCGGGGUAACGGCCCACCAAGGCAACGAUCAGUAGGGGUUCUGAGAGCAAGGUCCGCCACAUUGGAGCUGAGGCACGGUCCAAACUCCUACGGGAGGCAGCAGUGAGGAAUAUUGGUCAAUGGGCGGAAGCCUGAACCAGCCAAGUAGCGUGCAGGAUGACGGCCCUAUGGGUUGUAAACUGCUUUUAUACAGGAAUAAAGUUAGCCACGUGUGGUUAUUUGUAGGUACUGUAUGAAUAAGGACCGGCUAAUUCCGUGCCAGCAGCCGCCGUAA
This 506-nucleotide ribosomal RNA is filed under the name uncultured bacterium. RNAcentral describes it as "partial 16S ribosomal RNA". It matches the Rfam family "Bacterial small subunit ribosomal RNA", at positions 28 to 523 of the family's 1533-position model. The record is from RNAcentral.